This 469-nucleotide ribosomal RNA is filed under the name Bacillus aerius. RNAcentral's name for it is "bacterial SSU rRNA". Lineage: Bacteria; Bacillati; Bacillota; Bacilli; Caryophanales; Bacillaceae. The record is from RNAcentral.
CCUACGGGGGGGGCWGCAGUAGGGAAUCUUCCGCAAUGGACGAAAGUCUGACGGAGCAACGCCGCGUGAGUGAUGAAGGUUUUCGGAUCGUAAAGCUCUGUUGUUAGGGAAGAACAAGUGCAAGAGUAACUGCUUGCACCUUGACGGUACCUAACCAGAAAGCCACGGCUAACUACGUGCCAGCAGCCGCGGUAAUACGUAGGUGGCAAGCGUUGUCCGGAAUUAUUGGGCGUAAAGGGCUCGCAGGCGGUUUCUUAAGUCUGAUGUGAAAGCCCCCGGCUCAACCGGGGAGGGUCAUUGGAAACUGGGAAACUUGAGUGCAGAAGAGGAGAGUGGAAUUCCACGUGUAGCGGUGAAAUGCGUAGAGAUGUGGAGGAACACCAGUGGCGAAGGCGACUCUCUGGUCUGUAACUGACGCUGAGGAGCGAAAGCGUGGGGAGCGAACAGGAUUAGAUACCCCKGGUAGUCA